ACGGAGGGUGCAAGCGUUAUCCGGAUUCACUGGGUUUAAAGGGUGCGUAGGUGGGCAGGUAAGUCCGUGGUGAAAUCCCCGAGCUUAACUCGGGAACUGCCGUGGAUACUAUCUGUCUUGAAUAUUGUGGAGGUAAGCGGAAUAUGUCAUGUAGCGGUGAAAUGCUUAGAUAUGACAUAGAACACCAAUUGCGAAGGCAGCUUACUACACAGUAAUUGACGCUGAGGCACGAAAGCGUGGGGAUCAAACAGGA
RNAcentral lists this ribosomal RNA (253 nucleotides) under uncultured prokaryote. RNAcentral's name for it is "partial 16S ribosomal RNA". It matches the Rfam family "Bacterial small subunit ribosomal RNA", at positions 525 to 777 of the family's 1533-position model. The record is from RNAcentral.